CUUCUAUGGACUGGUGUAUUAACCACAACAGAAGCAUUGUGAUUUUGGUAGUCGGUAAGAAAUAAAUCUAAUAAUAAUAAGAUGGUCCAAGUCCGCUUGUUCACUGUAACAGUUAUUUAUUGUUAAACGAACCCAGUUGUAAUUUUACGUCUUUCCCACAGGUGGCCUCAUCACCAAAUAGAACUUGAGUUGCUGGGGGCAGACCGGGAAGUAGUGGACAGCACACGUCCCCUGGAGGACGGCUGGUAUGGAUAAGGCCUAAAAGAGUCAGAAGAAGAUUUGUAAGAAGAACACCCCUCCGAUUGCAGCAAUCCUCCCCUUCAGAACGUAGUUUUCACCUCCGAUUUUCGAGCACUGCAUUCCAACCAGAGUUCCCACAAGCCCAAAUGUCCCGAACACGAUGGCGGCGAUCAUCAAUGCUCGAGACGCUUGUAUGUACCCUGCGCACAAACACAAAGGUACAAUCCCGUGUUUAUUGAUACAGUAAUACACCACCGCAGCAAAAUCAAUUACAAUCCUUUCAGCAAGUGCCAAGAUCAACAAUUCAAUAAUUUCAGGACUUUUAUACAUUGCUGCUUGGUUGCACAGAAACUCCCGGAUUCCAUCAAAAUACCGUAUGAACCGUUGGGACUGUGACCCGUAUAGGCUUUAGGU
Long non-coding RNA from Hippocampus comes (tiger tail seahorse), 654 nucleotides. RefSeq lists it as uncharacterized. Lineage: Eukaryota; Metazoa; Chordata; Actinopteri; Syngnathiformes; Syngnathidae. The record is from RefSeq and is a predicted model, not a curated record. The transcript is spliced from 3 exons.